Molecule: long non-coding RNA, 2926 nt
Organism: Helianthus annuus (common sunflower)
Lineage: Eukaryota; Viridiplantae; Streptophyta; Magnoliopsida; Asterales; Asteraceae
Exons: 3
Source: RefSeq, a predicted model, not a curated record
UCUCUUUAAGAUCAUAGCACCUCUAUAUAAUACCCAUAACCCACCACAAGCCAAACACCCAUCCCCUUUGUCUGCAAUCUAUAAACACACACAAGAAAUGUCUUUCCUCUCUCUCUCGGUUAUAUAUCAGACCACACACACAAACACCCCAAACACUCCAUCUUCUUCUUAAAACCAAUCACCCACACCUUCACUAUAAACACCACAUAUACAACCGAACAACUUCUCUAAAUCUCCUUCCUUAAGUCCGGUGACCGGAAUAAAGCUCCGCCUGCAACACCCCCCUCUCUCGAUUACCGGCCGGCCACCACCAUUUCGGUGGCGGCGGACUUGAGCUGCGACAACCCCACCACCACAGGCGGCGGCGCUGUGGUGGGUGGUGCCAGACGACGAAGAAAGACAUAGCAGAAGAGAGAGAGACCGGGAUGAGGAGAGAGAGAGAAAGAGAGACGAGUCGGAGAGAGAGAGAGUGACGGAGAUGAGGAGCGGCGCCGCCGCUCACGGCGGCGGCAGUGGCGGCGUGGUGGUGGUCCUUCUGGUCCGAUAAGCAUUCUGAUCAGCAACCCAGCAGGUUCGACUUCUGAUUUGUUUCGGGUUUGGUUUAGCUUCGGAUGGGUUUAGGUGUGGUUCGAUCCAGACACGGGUGACGACAUAGAAGAUGAUUAUGUUCAGGAUGAACAUCAAAUUUCUUUGGUUCAUCUCAGAUUUUUCUAUGGAUUGUUUUCGUUUUGCGGUUCGGGUCAACAUCAGAUUCAUGUUCGUGUUUCGGGUGUUCGUUUCAGCUCAACGGUGGAGUGUUCGAUUCGGGUCAGAUCUAGUCAACGGCUCGGUCAACAGUCAAACUUGGUCAAACCUGGUCAAAGACAGGUUUGACUGGUUCGGGUCAACAGAAGUCAAUGGUUCGGCUCGGGUCAAGCGGCUUGGUCAGACUCGGUUUUGGAUUUGGUUGACUCGGUCAAACCAAGUCAACUCGGUUAACUGGUCAACUCAGUUCGGUUCGGUCAUCGCAAGUCAAACUCAGUUAACAAACGGCACGAAGAAUGGAAUAUUGUAGAACGCACGCUAGCGAGUCUCGUCUUGGAAACGACAUCAUGAAGUCGUAUAUAGCUAGCUUAGCACAGGAAUAUUCAGGUUGCAUUUCUAAAACAAGGUACAGUUGGAAUAGAACCAUUGGAGAUACGAGUAAUUAGUGGCGUUCGCAUUCUAAAAGUCUUAGCUUAUUUGCUUCCGCUGUGCAAUGAAGAUACCAGUCCAGUCACGCCAAUGCUCUGAUAUUUCAGGGUGUGACAACGUUAUCUAGAUCACUUGAACAAGGUAAUCAAAACAAAGUUAUAUUACAAGUAUUGUCCGUAACCCCAUGAAAGAACGUCGGAUCAUCCCAAAACUUUACGUGUUGUUGUAGGGCCCAAGUAGGGUCGUUUCGGGUCACGGGCCAAUUUGAUCGGGUCAAAACGUUGACUGUGCUCGGGUCGGGACCGCCCGUCCAUGUGGUUCAACCAUAACCGUAUCAAACGAGGUCGGAAUGGCACAAAACUUCAUGUAAGCCAUCGGGACAACUUGACGGUGGUCUUGGGAAAGGAUAAUAUGGAUUCGGGCCCACGGGCCUGCGGGCCCGGUAUGUCCGUUUUCUCAGGAUUCUUCGUAACACCACCAAACGACGUCGGAUCGCCACGAAAGCUGACACGGUUGUUCACGGGCGUUCUUAGGGUGGUAUCGGGUCACGGCUUCACGUCUCGGGUCAACGUGUUGACCGGGCCAUGUUCGGGCCCGAUUGUGUGGUUGGGCCUUGGAUCGGGCCCGUUAUACUCGUAUCGAGACCAAACUUUAUACAGGCGUUCUUAUGGUGGUAUCGGGUCACGACAUCAUGUUCUCGGGUCAGGUCUUGGUUGGGCCUUGUUCGGGCCCGAUGUGUCGUUGGGCCUGGUUCGGGCUCGUUGUGCUUGGAUCGCCACGAAUAGGUCACGUGGAUGUUCACGCGCAUGGUUCCUGGUCGUUAUUCCCGGUGGCCAGACAUCUUGGACCUGUUGCCGGGUAACAUGUUGGAACGACGUGUGGCGUGUGUCAGGCCAUUGGCAUGUUAACAAGGCAUCGUGCCUAGCUCACCGGUCAUCGUCGCCCGUUCACUACGAUAACCUCCUGUGGGCAUGACACUUGACCUGUUAACAAGCCAUCGAGUUGGGACGAUGUGGGGCUUGGGCAAGGCACUUGGCGUGUUAACAAUGCACGGUGGCACUGCAUGGCUAGAACGAUGUGGGUAUUCGGCAAGGCACUGUGCCUGCUCACAAAGGCAUCGUGGUCAGUUUACACAUCUAGCCUCUUUUAGCGUUUUUGCUGGCCACCCCUGCGAGGACCCCGGGGUUUAUGGAUCCCCUAGUCCCCCUAUAUAUACAUUCUGAUUAAAAGGCAAAGUGUCAGGAACAGGCAUUACUUUUUUCAAUGGAUCAUAAUCUGCCAUACCAUUGUGAAAGCGGUUCUAGCCAACACUUGUAAAAUUUCGAACACUUGUGAAAUUUUCCAACACUUGUAGAAGAUUUAUUCAACACUUGUGAUAUUUUCACAAGUGUGCUAGCACAGCCUCUCGGAAGAAACCCUUAGGAACUUUUUUGGGUUGGGGUCUUGGGUGGGGAGGGACGAAUCUGAGCGACGCAGGGCUGAAUCUCAGUGGAUCGUGGCAGCAAGGCCACUCUGCCACUUACAAUACCCCGUCACGUAUUUAAGUCAUUUGCAAAGGAUUCUACCCGUCGCUUGAUGGGAAUUGUACUUCAAGGCGGCCCGCGCGGCUCGUCUGCCACGCGAGCUUAGCCUACGACACGUGCCUUUGGGGGCCGAGGCCCCUACUGCUGGUCGGCAAACAGGCGACGGGCACACGCGUCGCUUGUAGCCCGGAUUCUGACUUAGAGGCGUUCAGUCAUAAUCCAGCGCACGG